CGUGCGGUGGGCUCCGCCGGAGGUGGCGGACGCGUUCUGCGCGGCACGGCUCGGCGGGGACGGCGGCGCGGCGUUCGGGACGCUCCCGCACAC
Molecule: transfer RNA, 93 nt
Filed under: Streptomyces tanashiensis
Lineage: Bacteria; Bacillati; Actinomycetota; Actinomycetes; Kitasatosporales; Streptomycetaceae
Description: tRNA-Arg
Source: RNAcentral